RNAcentral lists this ribosomal RNA (473 nucleotides) under uncultured Lachnospiraceae bacterium. RNAcentral describes it as "bacterial SSU rRNA". It matches the Rfam family "Bacterial small subunit ribosomal RNA", at positions 28 to 501 of the family's 1533-position model. Lineage: Bacteria; Bacillati; Bacillota; Clostridia; Lachnospirales; Lachnospiraceae. The record is from RNAcentral.
GACGAACGCUGGCGGGCGCCUAACACAUGCAAGUCGAACGGAGCUGUUUCUCUGAAGUUUUCGGAUGGAAGAGAGUCAGCUUAGUGGCGAACGGGUGAGUAACACGUGAGCAACCUGCCUUUCAGUGGGGGACAACAUUUGGAAACGAAUGCUAAUACCGCAUAAGACCACAGUGUCGCAUGGCACAGGGGUCAAAGGAUUUAUCCGCUGAAAGAUGGGCUCGCGUCCGAUUAGCUAGAUGGUGAGGUAACGGCCCACCAUGGCAACGAUCGGUAGCCGGACUGAGAGGUUGAACGGCCACAUUGGGACUGAGACACGGCCCAGACUCCUACGGGAGGCAGCAGUGGGGAAUAUUGCACAAUGGGGGAAACCCUGAUGCAGCGACGCCGCGUGGAGGAAGAAGGUCUUCGGAUUGUAAACUCCUGUCCCAGGGGACGAUAAUGACGGUACCCUGGGAGGAAGCACCGGCUAAC